This is a transfer RNA of Tritrichomonas foetus, 74 nucleotides long. It matches the Rfam family "tRNA". From Rfam's summary of the family: Transfer RNA (tRNA) molecules are approximately 80 nucleotides in length. Their secondary structure includes four short double-helical elements and three loops (D, anti-codon, and T loops). Further hydrogen bonds mediate the characteristic L-shaped molecular structure. tRNAs have two regions of fundamental functional importance: the anti-codon, which is responsible for specific mRNA codon recognition, and the 3' end, to which the tRNAs corresponding amino acid is attached (by aminoacyl-tRNA synthetases). tRNAs cope with the degeneracy of the genetic code in two manners: having more than one tRNA (with a specific anti-codon) for a particular amino acid; and 'wobble' base-pairing, i.e. permitting non-standard base-pairing at the 3rd anti-codon position. The record is from Rfam. Lineage: Eukaryota; Parabasalia; Tritrichomonadida; Tritrichomonadidae.
GCCUUCGUAGCUCAGUCGGCUAGAGCAUCGGACUUUUAAUCCGAGUGUCGCGGGUUCGAGUCCCGUCGGAGGCA